RNAcentral lists this ribosomal RNA (271 nucleotides) under uncultured archaeon. Its description in RNAcentral is "partial 16S ribosomal RNA". It matches the Rfam family "Archaeal small subunit ribosomal RNA", at positions 477 to 747 of the family's 1478-position model. The record is from RNAcentral.
CGGCGCCACGAGUGGCAAUCACGAUUAUUGGGUCUAAAGCGUUCGUAGCCGGUUUAAUAAAUCUUUUGUGAAAUUGUCGGGCUCAACUCGACAGCGUGCAGAAGACACUGUUAAACUAGGGACCGGGAGGGGUUAGAAGUAUUUCAAGGGGAGCGGUAAAAUGUUGUAAUCCUUGAAAGACUACCAAUGGCGAAGGCAUCUAACCAGAACGGAUUUGACGGUGAGGAACGAAGGCCAGGGGAGCGAACCGGAUUAGAUACCCGCGUAGUCC